Molecule: ribosomal RNA, 253 nt
Filed under: uncultured bacterium
Lineage: Bacteria
Description: partial 16S ribosomal RNA
Rfam family: Bacterial small subunit ribosomal RNA
Source: RNAcentral
UACGUAGGUGGCGAGCGUUGUCCGGAGUUACUGGGUGUAAAGCGCGUGUAGGCGGCAGGCCAAGUCGGUGGUGAAAGCGCCCGGCUCAACUGGGCGAGGUCCAUGGAAACUGGUCAGCUGGAGGACGGUAGAGGCGAGUGGAAUUCCCGGUGUAGUGGUGAAAUGCGCAGAUAUCAGGAAGAACACCAAUGGCGAAAGCAGCUCUCUGGGACGGUACUGACGCUGAGACGCGAAAGCGUGGGGAGCGAACAGG